UUUUCUUGCUCUUUCAUAGGAAGCAUAUUCCUCUCCUUUUGCUGGACUCUGGGUUUCUCUGAAUUAGAAAUCCAACUACUUCUCCUGAAUUUGAAGAAAUGGUCUUGUGUGUGGUUGUCCGCUUGUGUAGGCUGUGUGGGCCCGGCAACUUUGGCUGUCUGCCCAGAGUUGCAGUGGCGUGGGCUGGGUUCCUGGGGCACUCCAUGAUGCGGUUGCCCUUGGUGGGAUGCUGAAGUGAGCAUGGGGUAGGGUGGUCCUGUGGAUCUCCAGAAACUAUGGCAGUAUAGCUAAAGUGGACAUUGGUACAGGCUAUGGCAGUCCUGGGGCUCUCCAGAGGGCACCCUGGAGCUGUCUGGCAGGACAGCUGAAGUUAAAGUGUACACAUCAGGAUGUCCUGGGGUACUCCCCUUAGGUGGUACUUUGGUGGGGAGGUUGGAGCCUAUGUGUACUACAGGCCAGGGGCGUAUGUGUGUGGGUGGCUAGAGCCAAAGUGAGCAGGAGCCUGGAGGUCCUGGUGGCUCUCUGCAUUGGGAGUGCCCUGGCCAGGUGUCUGGAGUGUUCCAGGAUGCGGGGACCUGUCACCUUGGAGAGACAGGUAUUGUAGUGAGCAGCGACUGCAGGUCUCCUGGUAUGCACAUGGAUGGUCUUGGGCUGGUGGGUAUGAGGGGUCAGAGUUCACGGACACACUGAUCACAGUGCCUGCACUCCGCUCCUGUCUGUAGUAUCAAGGUGGAGGGGGGACUGUAAAUGGUAGUGAUCACCCACCUACCCUAGUUCCAAAAGUGCCCUUCUGUUAGGUAGGGUUUCAGUGCUGUGAUUUUUAUAUUCUAGUUGCUCGUUUAAAUGGCAGCUUUUUCCUCUGUGCCCCCAGGCAAACCAAUCUGUGCAGUCUUACAUAAGCAUUCCACCCCACUGCAGCAGUGUCAGGGUUUCCCUUUGUCACGGGCUGGUCCUUCUUAUAAUUUUCCACGUGCAGCUCUCAAGUUAGCGGUCUUCAGGAGAACUUGCUCUAUAAAUAUGUGUAGAUUUGGUUAUGCCUGUGGAGGAGAGUUAAGGGUCUUCCUACUUUGCCAUCUUGGACCCUUUUCCCCCAACCUCCUGAAUUUAAGUAUCAGCUAAAGUCAACUGACAGUUGAGACUUCUCCAUCCAGUAGUCAAACCAGUGCUAGACUCCAUGGCCAAGGAAGCAAAUCUGGUUGUCUUAGUCCUCUGGUCUCUUGUUAUUCAGACUGUGGUCUAGGAAUAAGCAGCAAAGCUGUGACUUAGAGACCAUAUCCAACAAUUUCCUAUGGAAUCAGAAUCCGCAUGUUAAGAUAUCUGAAGUUGUGAGGAAAAUGUGAAAUGAAGCAGAAAUGCAGACUCAUUGUGUCCAGAGUCCUUUUCAUUCCCAAGCUUUUCAUCUGUAUCAUGCUGGCCCAGCUCCUUUUGAUCCUCCCCUCCAUGUAACACUUGCCUCUUGAAAGGGACCAUUGCAGGGCAGUCACCCCACCUCCUUGGGCUCUUGCACACAACAGCCAUUACCGUAACUUUCCCACUGUAUCUUGUCCCAGAGCCUGUUCCAUUUCCUUCUCAUCUUCGAGAGACCAUGUCUUUGUCUCUAUAUUCUCAGUCUGGCACAUCAUUACCUGCCACUCAGCAGGCCUGUGAUAGUUGUUAAACCCCCUAAUUUCA
RNAcentral lists this long non-coding RNA (1671 nucleotides) under Canis lupus familiaris (dog). RNAcentral's name for it is "lncRNA (ENSCAFG00000052865.1)". The record is from RNAcentral. Lineage: Eukaryota; Metazoa; Chordata; Mammalia; Carnivora; Canidae.